Molecule: ribosomal RNA, 253 nt
Filed under: uncultured bacterium
Lineage: Bacteria
Description: partial 16S ribosomal RNA
Rfam family: Bacterial small subunit ribosomal RNA
Source: RNAcentral
GACGAACCGUGCAACCGUUGUUCGGAAUCACUGGGCUUAAAGGGCGCGUAGGCGGCUUGUCAAGUCAGGGGUGAAAUCUUUCGGCUUAACCGGAAAAGUGCCUUUGAUACUGACAGGCUCGAGGGAGGUAGGGGUAUGUGGAACUUCUGGUGGAGCGGUGAAAUGCGUUGAUAUCAGAAGGAACGCCGGUGGCGAAAGCGACGUACUGGACCUCUUCUGACGCUGAGGCGCGAAAGCUAGGGGAGCAAACGGG